RNAcentral lists this long non-coding RNA (1523 nucleotides) under Callithrix jacchus (white-tufted-ear marmoset). RNAcentral describes it as "lncRNA (ENSCJAG00000073611.1)". The record is from RNAcentral. Lineage: Eukaryota; Metazoa; Chordata; Mammalia; Primates; Cebidae.
AGUUUUGAAUCCUGGAGAAAAAGUACAUUUGUUAACACAAGUUACUUAUUUUCCACUCUUGGCCCAGGCCAUGUGACUUGCUUUUACAGUGUGUUCAAAUCUCAAUGGGCAAUGUUUCUUUAUGCUAUAAUAUCAAAAGGGCUAUCAUUUAUACAGUACGCCUCAUUCCCACUUCUUUCUUGAUACAGUGCCUGCAGCUUUGACAUCCACGCCAAGAUAGGAAGGCAUCAUUUUUUUUUUUUUUUUUUUUUUUUUGAGACAGAGUUUCACUCUUGUUACCCAGGCUGGAGUGCAAUGGCGCCAUCUCGGCUCACCGCAACCUCCGCCUCCUGGGUUCAGGCAAUUCUCCUCGUCAGCCAGAAGCAGUGGUUCACGCCUGUAAACCCAGCACUUUGGGAGGCCGAGGUGGAUGGAUCACCUCAGGUCAGGAGUUUGCGACCAGCCUGGCUAACAUGGUGAAACCCCAUCUCUACUGAAAAUACAAAAAUUAGCCAGCUGUGGUGGUGCAUGCCUAUAAUCCCAGCUAUUCAGGAGGCUGAAUCAGGAGAAUUGCUUGAACCCAGGAGGCAGAGGUUGCAGUAAGCCAAGAUUGUGCCACUGCACUCCAGCCUGGACAAUGGAACAAGACUCUGUCUCAAAAAAGGAAUUGCUAUUUGUCUACAGAAACUCUUUCUUAUAGGUGCAUAUAAAUGCAAGUAGGUGCUUAAAGAGAUUAUUAACAUAUGGGUUGCGUGUGCCACACUAUCUGAUUGACUAAAAGCCAACUUUUAAAGGAGAGGUAUGGCUUUUCCUACAUUUGUGAUAAGAAUUUCCCAAUCUUAGAACCAGGAUUCUGCUGCCUAAUAUACAGAGUAGAAUGCAACAUUUCUGAUUCUUCAACAAAUCUGGAAGGCAAACAGCAAAAUGUGGUGAGCUAAGCAUGUUUUCUCUCACCUCUAGCUUCUCUACUAAGCAAAAUAAGUUAAUGAGUCAACUCCUCUCCAGCCGGCAUGUUAUGUGCCAAUUGCUGAAAUCAAAUGAGAAACUCUUUCUAGUGCAGGACACAGAGCUCAUGUGAAAGUUGUCAGAUUUGAUAAAGUGCAGUUGUUCUAGAAGAAAACACUCCCUUUCUAUUUUCUAGGAUACAUCUGUUUGCCAGAGUGCAUUUUCCAGCUAAUACCUGUUUGUCGACAGAAUUUGCAAUGAACUUUAAUUGUGUGCUUUACCUGACAGUCUUAAUUGUAAUCUGACUUCCUUCAGGUAGCAAUCAGCUGAGUGAAAUAAUCAUAUCUCCCUGAAGGCCAUAAAUACUACCACCUGCACCUCUUCUGUUGCAUGUUCCUCUUUUUAACUCCAGCAUCACGUGGAGAGGAGAUACAGAGCCUGAAAAGGUACAGCACACUCAAAAUAGCUGCUAUUUUCCUAUCAUUACAGUGGUGUGUAAUUAAACACAGACAGAGUAACUGAGGACAAAAAUAAUCCUAUCAUUUUAAAAUUGUAAUAGUAAAGCUGCUGUAUAAGCAGAGAUUGCCUUUUUUAGUAAG